This 679-nucleotide ribosomal RNA is filed under the name Streptococcus anginosus. RNAcentral describes it as "bacterial SSU rRNA". It matches the Rfam family "Bacterial small subunit ribosomal RNA", at positions 742 to 1421 of the family's 1533-position model. The record is from RNAcentral. Lineage: Bacteria; Bacillati; Bacillota; Bacilli; Lactobacillales; Streptococcaceae.
GACGCUGAGGCUCGAAAGCGUGGGGAGCGAACAGGAUUAGAUACCCUGGUAGUCCACGCCGUAAACGAUGAGUGCUAGGUGUUAGGUCCUUUCCGGGACUUAGUGCCGCAGCUAACGCAUUAAGCACUCCGCCUGGGGAGUACGACCGCAAGGUUGAAACUCAAAGGAAUUGACGGGGGCCCGCACAAGCGGUGGAGCAUGUGGUUUAAUUCGAAGCAACGCGAAGAACCUUACCAGGUCUUGACAUCCCGAUGCUAUUUCUAGAGAUAGGAAGUUUCUUCGGAACAUCGGUGACAGGUGGUGCAUGGUUGUCGUCAGCUCGUGUCGUGAGAUGUUGGGUUAAGUCCCGCAACGAGCGCAACCCUUAUUGUUAGUUGCCAUCAUUGAGUUGGGCACUCUAGCGAGACUGCCGGUAAUAAACCGGAGGAAGGUGGGGAUGACGUCAAAUCAUCAUGCCCCUUAUGACCUGGGCUACACACGUGCUACAAUGGCUGGUACAACGAGUCGCAAGCCGGUGACGGCAAGCUAAUCUCUGAAAGCCAGUCUCAGUUCGGAUUGUAGGCUGCAACUCGCCUACAUGAAGUCGGAAUCGCUAGUAAUCGCGGAUCAGCACGCCGCGGUGAAUACGUUCCCGGGCCUUGUACACACCGCCCGUCACACCACGAGAGUUUGUAACACC